GUAUAGGAUAUGACACAAUCUAGUACUACAAAUCUGAAUAUCAUAUACUACGAAUCCAAACAUAGGUAUGUUUAUAUCUGUAAUACUAGAACAUGUCACAUCAUAUAAUG
RNAcentral lists this unclassified non-coding RNA (110 nucleotides) under Oryza sativa (Asian cultivated rice). RNAcentral's name for it is "partial microRNA MIR468n-8 precursor". The record is from RNAcentral. Lineage: Eukaryota; Viridiplantae; Streptophyta; Magnoliopsida; Poales; Poaceae.